CAGAGGAAUUAAAGGAAGAAGAAAACCUCCCUUGUUUAUAACAGUUUGGACAGAUGUCAUAUUUUUUGUUUUUUAAGUUGUGAUACCAAGUUUGAGAGCAAUUAACACCGCAAGUGAAACAAACUUUAUCGACUCGAGGGACUUUGUCGCUUUUUUCAUCUUCUUCUUUGGGAGAGGUUUGUUCCAUUGCAUUUAAACUAGGGCUGUAAUGCUUUUCUUCUAAUUUAACAAAUUCUUGGCUCGAAGAUCCACCGACGGUACUAGGAGGAGGGUGUUGAGCUAACAUUUCUUGCGUGACGAUUGGAGUAUUACUAAUAGCUUGAACAUGUCCUGAAAUAGGAGGAAGUCGGAAUGCAGGUCGCGUUUCAGGAUCGAUUUGAUAGUUAAUUAAGCCCCACUGUUCGAGAAAUGCAUGCACGCGAAUUAUAGCACAAACAUCACCAACAAGAUUUCGACGACAUGCAGUAACUGUCAGGUAUUCAUU
Non-coding RNA from Schizosaccharomyces pombe (fission yeast), 484 nucleotides. NCBI's taxonomy places the organism in Eukaryota, Fungi, Ascomycota, Schizosaccharomycetes, Schizosaccharomycetales, Schizosaccharomycetaceae. The record is from the annotation of a GenBank genome assembly.